GUAGUCUCGCACAGAUGCAUAUCAAUAAGCGGAGGAAAAGAAACUAACAAGGAUUCCCCUAGUAACGGCGAGUGAAGCGGGAAGAGCUCAAAUUUGAAAUCUUAAAGGGUUUCCCUUUACGAAUUGUAGUUUAAAGAAGUGUUUUCUGUUGAGGUUUUGGUAAAAGUUCUUUGGAAUAGGACAUCAUAGAGGGUGAGAAUCCCGUAUUUGACCUUUACUUUCAACUUUGUGAUACACUUUCAAAGAGUCGGAUUGUUUGGGAAUGCAGUCCAAAAUGGGUGGUAAAUUUCAUCUAAAGCUAAAUAUUGGCGAGAGACCGAUAGCGAACAAGUACCGUGAGGGAAAGAUGAAAAGAACUUUGAAAAGAGAGUUAAACAGUACGUGAAAUUGUCAAAAGGGAAGCGUUUGACACCAGUGUUGUUUUUCUGAAAAGUCAAUUAAAGAACUGUUUAUGCUAAGCUGUUUAGACUUUAUUAGCUAACUGUUUAGUUUUGAGCUUUUCUUUAAUGCACUUUUCAGUUAACAAGUCAACAUCAAUUUCUUUUGCUGUAAAAAAGCUUGAGGAAGGUGGCUUGAGAUUCGUCUUAAGUGUUUAUAGCCUCUUGCCUAUGCAGUCGGAGAGAUUGAGGUCUGCAGCGUAGAUCCUUCGGGGCUAAAUGCAUUUGUGCUAAGUUAUAGCAUUUUAUAGACAACUUGUUGACUAUGAUUUGUCUUGUAGCUUACUCGCUUAUGUUAUUUUACCUACGCUUAGGAUGUUGACGCAUGAGAUAUACGC
Molecule: ribosomal RNA, 775 nt
Filed under: uncultured Neocallimastigales
Lineage: Eukaryota; Fungi; Neocallimastigomycota; Neocallimastigomycetes; Neocallimastigales
Description: partial large subunit ribosomal RNA
Rfam family: Eukaryotic large subunit ribosomal RNA
Source: RNAcentral